UCUCUCUGUUCGCUUUGUAUCCAACUGUCGCCUCACUGAACUUCUCAACGGCGAUUUCAUUUGCUAUAUUUGCUCCCAUUAGCACACAACAAUUAAUGCCAAGCAGCUCAGAAAUAAGAUUUGAGAUCAUGCAAGGGCCUUCCAUUUUGACCUCCAUUCCUUUGAUGAGUGAAAUAGCCUCUACACCUUCCUUUAUCUUCCCAACAAGUCUCUUGCAUAUACCCUCCAUAAACUGAUGUGGAGUUACAAAUACCAACAUGUUUGCAUCCCUCACGGCAUUGUCAAGAUCAGGAUCUGCAAUAACAUUUUUUCCAAGCUUUAUACCCGGGAGAUAUUUAACAUUUUCAUUAGUUCGGUUAAUGACAUCUGUUAACUUCUCACCACUUGGUAAUGU
Molecule: unclassified non-coding RNA, 394 nt
Filed under: Hevea brasiliensis (rubber tree)
Lineage: Eukaryota; Viridiplantae; Streptophyta; Magnoliopsida; Malpighiales; Euphorbiaceae
Source: RNAcentral